Molecule: ribosomal RNA, 161 nt
Filed under: Homalomena gastrofructa
Lineage: Eukaryota; Viridiplantae; Streptophyta; Magnoliopsida; Alismatales; Araceae
Description: 5.8S ribosomal RNA
Rfam family: 5.8S ribosomal RNA
About the family: 5.8S ribosomal RNA (5.8S rRNA) is a component of the large subunit of the eukaryotic ribosome.
Source: RNAcentral
AGUCUCCGAACGACUCCCGGCAACGGAUAUCUGGGCUCUCGCAUCGAUGAAGAACGUAGCGAAAUGCGAUACGUGGUGUGAAUUGCACAAUCCCGCGAACCAUCGAAUCUUUGAACGCAAGUUGCGCCCGAGGCCGCCGGGCCGAGGGCACGCCUGCCUGG